GACGAACGCUGGCGGUGUGCUUCACACAUGCAAGUCGAACGAGGUAGCAAUACCUAGUGGCGGACGGGUGAGUAACGCGUGGGAAUCUGCCCAUAGGUGGGGGGAUAACUAGCCGAAAGGUUAGCUAAUACCGCAUAUGCCGAGAGGUAAAAGGAGUAAUCCGCCUUUGGAUGAGCCCGCGUCCGAUUAGCUAGUUGGUAGGGUAAAAGCCUACCAAGGCUACGAUCGGUAGCUGGUCUGAGAGGAUGAUCAGCCACAAUGGGACUGAGACACGGCCCAUACUCCUACGGGAGGCAGCAGUGGGGAAUUUUACGCAAUGGGGGGAAACCCUGACGUAGCGACACCGCGUGAACGAAGAAGCCCUUUGGGGUGUAAAGUUCUGUCGGCUGGAACGAAAAAAAUGACGGUACCAGCAAAGGAAGCAUCGGCUAACUACGUGCCAGCAGCCGCGGUAAU
Molecule: ribosomal RNA, 456 nt
Filed under: uncultured bacterium
Lineage: Bacteria
Description: bacterial SSU rRNA
Rfam family: Bacterial small subunit ribosomal RNA
Source: RNAcentral